UACGUAUGGUGCGAGCGUUAUCCGGAUUUACUGGGUGUAAAGGGAGCGUAGACGGCUGUGCAAGUCUGAAGUGAAAGGCCGGGGCCCAACCCCGGGAGUGCUUUGGAAACUGUGCGGCUAGAGUGUCGGAGAGGCAAGUGGAAUUCCCAGUGUAGCGGUGAAAUGCGUAGAUAUUGGGAGGAACACCAGUGGCGAAGGCGUCUUGCUGGACGAUGACUGACGUUGAGGCUCGAAAGCGUGGGGAGCAAACAGG
Molecule: ribosomal RNA, 253 nt
Filed under: uncultured bacterium
Lineage: Bacteria
Description: partial 16S ribosomal RNA
Rfam family: Bacterial small subunit ribosomal RNA
Source: RNAcentral